RNAcentral lists this ribosomal RNA (372 nucleotides) under uncultured organism. Its description in RNAcentral is "bacterial SSU rRNA". It matches the Rfam family "Bacterial small subunit ribosomal RNA", at positions 526 to 896 of the family's 1533-position model. The record is from RNAcentral.
CAGAGACUGCAAGCGUUAUUCGGAUUCACUGGGCGUAAAGGGUGCGCAGGCGGCCGGGUGUGUCAGAUGUGAAAUCCCGAGGCUUAACCUCGGAACUGCGUCUGAAACUACUCGGCUAGAGUAUUGGAGAGGGUAACGGAAUUCACGGUGUAGCAGUGAAAUGCGUAGAUAUCGUGAGGAACACCAGAGGCGAAGGCGGUUACCUGGACAAUUACUGACGCUCAGGCACGAAAGCAUGGGGAGCAAAAGGGAUUAGAUACCCCUGUAGUCCAUGCCCUAAACGGUGCACACUAGGUCUUAGCGGAUUCGACCCCACUAGGGCCCAAGCUAACACGUUAAGUGUGCCGCUUGAGGACUACGGUCGCAAGACUA